AUUGGAGGGCAAGUCUGGUGCCAGCAGCCGCGGUAAUUCCAGCUCCAAUAGCGUAUAUUAAAGUUGUUGCCGUUAAAAAGCUCGUAGUUGAACCUUGGACCUGGCCGAUCUGUCCUCCUAACCGAGCGCACGGAUUCGGUCGGGUCUUUCCUUCUGGGGAACCCGAUGCCCUUCACUGGGUGUCGUGGGGAACCAGGACUUUUACCUUGAAAAAAUUAGAGUGUUCAAAGCAGGCCUUUGCUCGAAUACAUUAGCAUGGAAUAAUAAAAUAGGACAUCGGUUCUAUUUUGUUGGUUUCUAGGACCGCUGUAAUGAUUAAUAGGGAUAGUCGGGGGCGUCCGUAUUCAAUUGUCAGAGGUGAAAUUCUUGGAUUUAUUGAAGACGAACUACUGCGAAAGCAUUCGCCAAGGAUGUUUUCAUUAAUCAGUGAACGAAAGUUAGGGGAUCGAAGACGAUCAGAUACCGUCGUAGUCUUAACCAUAAACUAUGCCGACUAGGGAUCGG
Molecule: ribosomal RNA, 504 nt
Filed under: uncultured Rhinocladiella
Lineage: Eukaryota; Fungi; Ascomycota; Eurotiomycetes; Chaetothyriales; Herpotrichiellaceae
Description: SSU rRNA
Rfam family: Eukaryotic small subunit ribosomal RNA
Source: RNAcentral